This 21-nucleotide unclassified non-coding RNA is filed under the name Mus musculus (house mouse). Its description in RNAcentral is "oocyte_clustered_small_RNA4115". Lineage: Eukaryota; Metazoa; Chordata; Mammalia; Rodentia; Muridae. The record is from RNAcentral.
UACACUGCCAUGGAUGUGCGG